GAAAUGCGAUAAGUAGUGUGAAUUGCAGAAUUCAGUGAAUCAUCGAAUCUUUGAACGCACAUUGCGCCCCUUGGUAUUCCAUGGGGCAUGCCUGUUCGAGCGUCAUUUGUACCCUCAAGCUCUGCUUGGUGUUGGGUGUUUGUCCCCGUCUCCGCGCGUGGACUCGCCCCAAAGUGAUUGGCAGCCGGCGUACUGGUCCCGGAGCGCAGCACAUGUCGCGCAAACGAGUGCCUUGGUACGGCGGCGUCCAUAAGCCCCUCUCUCACGCUCUUGACCUCGGAUCAGGUAGGGAUACCCGCUGAAUUUAAGC
This 310-nucleotide unclassified non-coding RNA is filed under the name plant metagenome. Its description in RNAcentral is "partial contains 5.8S ribosomal RNA, internal transcribed spacer 2, and large subunit ribosomal RNA". The stretch from base 1 to 105 matches the Rfam family "5.8S ribosomal RNA", at positions 50 to 154 of the family's 154-position model. The record is from RNAcentral.